CACCAACAGGGUGGAAGUGUGGAAUUGUGAUGUGGACCACACCUGCACAUCAGGCUACCCCAAGGUUGUUACAGUUGUUGAUGCGAGAGAUGUAGACGAGUGGUUCUUAACCUUUUUGGAGUCAUGGACCCUAUUGAAAGUCUUGUGAAAGCUACGGAUCCCUCCCAAGUAAAAUGCAUAAUGGAGAAGGGAUGGAACGCUUGUGGUCGUAUCUGAGACGUUUCAACCGCAUCACAAAAGAAAUGACCCCCGACCAUCAUCGUGUGGCACUACUAGAUGAUGCUUUGCUUCACUACUCAGAAUACCUCAGGAACCAAAUGGGAGAAACGCUGAUGCAUCGCUACAUAAAAGCGCAGACAACCGGGAGUAACUGUGAUCAGGAACUUGAGCAGCUAACGUCAAGCUUGUCAGAAUCUUUCCUCAUGGUGCAAGUGGAGCUGCCACUACCUCACAGUGAUUACCUCACAGUGAAGACUUUUAGUUGGGGAUUCGCAUCCAUGUUCUUUAGAUGGAAGACACUUACUUGUGUUUUCCCAGGAUUGGCACGUAGAUGGUUUGCAGUGUAGUAAGUGGUUAGACUAGCAGAGGAUGCUUCAUUGUGGAAGGCCAUUCUUCUGUCUAAGCCAUCUGCUGCAGUUACCAUUGAGAUCCACGAGAAACCGCCUGUUUGCCAACAGGUUCUUGAUCAGAUUUGUCAGUCUCACAUCCUUUACUUGCUGGUAUAGUUUUUUUGGUAAGGGGUCGAUGGUUGACUGCGUCGUAAGCUGUGGAGAAGUAAAAUGCUAUAGUGUGUAAAUUGUUAAGUAAAUACAUACAUCGAUUAUUUUGUGUGUAUGUUAUUAAUGUUCUUGUAUUAGCUGUAAGGGUAUAUCUCGUCUUGGUUUUUGUACUAACCAUAGCAAUUAUUGCCUUAAAAUCUGUGUUCAUGUGGAUAUAAAAUAUGUAUGCUUUAAAUCUGUGCAUAUAAGUUGUAUUGUUUUUGCAGUUGCCAGAAGCAAAAGUGUUAUUAUUUCAACAAGUGCGCUCAACGCUAAGAAGUUUCAAUUUAACUUGUUGGAUGUUUCUGACUAUUAUAAUUAUAUAUGCAGACACCUUACUUACUGAGAUGUCAAAACAUCUUCUUAAAAUAUAACCUAGCUGUGAUCUCGUGAAUAAUCUGUACGUUGAUGUUAGUUGUAGAUAGUUAUAGAUGUAACUUGUGCCAGUCAUAUAGUUUUUUUAACUGCUUGAGGAGAACUUAAUUGCUGUAAAAUGUUACAAUAAGUAAAUUGAUUAAUAAACUUUUAUCUGUGAAAAACAUUGCCAUUCUAUCAAUACACUUAUGUUCAGCUAAAGA
RNAcentral lists this unclassified non-coding RNA (1336 nucleotides) under Priapulus caudatus. RNAcentral's name for it is "uncharacterized LOC106816820, transcript variant X1". The record is from RNAcentral. Lineage: Eukaryota; Metazoa; Priapulida; Priapulimorpha; Priapulimorphida; Priapulidae.